Molecule: ribosomal RNA, 501 nt
Filed under: uncultured bacterium
Lineage: Bacteria
Description: bacterial SSU rRNA
Rfam family: Bacterial small subunit ribosomal RNA
Source: RNAcentral
GACGAACGCUGGCGGCGUGCCUAACACAUGCAAGUCGAGCGAGAAGACGUAGCAAUACGUUUGUAAAGCGGCGAACGGGUGAGGAAUACAUGGGUAACCUACCCUCGAGUGGGGAAUAACUAGCCGAAGGUUAGCUAAUACCGCGUACGCUCCUUGGACUUCGGUUCAGGGAGGAAAGCGAUACCGUGGGUAUCGCGCUCUUGGUUGGGCUCAUGUCCUAUCAGCUUGUUGGUGAGGUAACGGCUCACCAAGGCUUCGACGGGUAGCUGGUCUGAGAGGACGAUCAGCCACACUGGCACUGCGACACGGGCCAGACUCCUACGGGAGGCAGCAGUAAGGAAUAUUGCGCAAUGGGCGAAAGCCUGACGCAGCGACGCCGCGUGGGGGAUGAAGGUCUUCGGAUUGUAAACCCCUUUCGGGAGGGAAGAUGGAACGAGCAAUCGUUCGGACGGUACCUCCAGAAGCAGCCACGGCUAACUUCGUGCCAGCCGCCGCGGUAAC